This 1281-nucleotide ribosomal RNA is filed under the name Niphargus karamani. RNAcentral's name for it is "eukaryotic LSU rRNA". It matches the Rfam family "Eukaryotic large subunit ribosomal RNA", at positions 1362 to 2198 of the family's 3401-position model. Lineage: Eukaryota; Metazoa; Arthropoda; Malacostraca; Amphipoda; Niphargidae. The record is from RNAcentral.
AAGGCUUCAGUACGACCAGGUCAGAACUAUAAGUCUCAAAGCCCCGACGAGUAGGGUGGCGUGCCGGUGCGCGUUGAAGGCCAAGACGUGAGUCAGGCUGGAGCCGCCGGUAGUGCAUAUCUUGGUGGUAGUAGCAAGUACUCUGGUGAACCAACCUGGAGCUGUGAGGUCUGGAUCAGGGUUCCAUGUCAACAGUGAUUGAACAUGGGUGAGUCGAUCCUAAGCCAACUGUGAAAGCAGUGACAUCCCGACAAAGGGGCAGUACAUGCGCUGCACUUACACCCCCAAAAGCUCUCAUGCAUAACUCUCUCAGUCUGUGACGAUCUGGUACGGGAAAAGCGCACGCACGUUGAUCGCUAUACAAAUACGUGUGAGUGUGUGCGCUGUUGUCUGGUUACGCUCAUAAGCGUUGAGGCUUUCUGGUAUAUAAAACGAGAGAGAGAGAGCGGGUGAGCGUGAGAUUGCCCUCGCAUGAGCCUCCUGCGUCUGGUUCUAUGUCUGGCGAAAGGGAAUGGGGACUUUGUUCCUUGACCGGUCCCGGCACCCUCGAUUGGCUUUGCCAAUUAAUGGUCCAUGCAAAUGGAACCAGGCCACAGCCGCCGGCAGUCGCCCGAGGAAGAGUUUUCUUUUCUGCUUAACGCACGAGGUCAUCCCUGGAAACAGUUCGGCUGGCGAAAGGGUGCCCCGUUGCGGCAGAGCGCCACGACUGUCGUGCGCGUCUCGGUGUUCCUGCCGGUCCGUGAAGACGUGGUCGAGGGGAUUGCUCUUGUAUCAACGAAACGCCCGACAAGUUCGGGACGGACCGUACCCUAUAUCCGCAUCUGGUCUCCAAGGUUCGUAGCCUCUGCAGAGUCAGACACAUGUAGGUAAGGGAAGUCGGCAAACUCGAUCCGUAACUUCGGGAAAAGGAUUGGCUCUGAGGGCCGAGCUGGGCCGGGCCUUGCCUGCAAAGCAGUACCUAUAGUGACCGGAGUUUCAGGAGUGCGAGGGGCUCUAGUAGCUGCUUGUGCGUGUGUGCGUUCGCGCGUGCGCGCGUGUGGGCACGAACGAGUCCACCGCUCCGCUCCAACCACGAACGGCUGUGACGGCAAGGGCUCUGGGCGGGAGCGAUCAACCCGUUGGCCCCCAGCUCGUCUGGGUGGCGGCGGUGCUCCGUCUGACCCAUACGGCUCCAGCGGCUAGCGGCUAACUCAGAACUGUCAUGGACCAAGGGAAUCCGACUGUCUAAUUAAAACAAAGCGUCGUGACGGCCCCUGUUGGGUGUUGACGCGACGUGAUUUC